This 478-nucleotide ribosomal RNA is filed under the name uncultured bacterium. RNAcentral's name for it is "bacterial SSU rRNA". It matches the Rfam family "Bacterial small subunit ribosomal RNA", at positions 330 to 800 of the family's 1533-position model. The record is from RNAcentral.
UGCGAACUCCUACGUGAGGCAGCAGUAGGGAAUCUUCGGCAAUGGACGGAAGUCUGACCGAGCAACGCCGCGUGAGUGAAGAAGGUUUUCGGAUCGUAAAGCUCUGUUGUAGGAGAAGAACGAGUGUGAGAGUGGAAAGUUCACACUGUGACGGUAUCUUACCAGAAAGGGACGGCUAACUACGUGCCAGCAGCCGCGGUAAUACGUAGGUCCCGAGCGUUGUCCGGAUUUGUUGGGCGUAAAGCGAGCGCAGGCGGUUAGAUAAGUCUGAAGUUAAAGGAUGUGGCUUAACCAUAGUACGCUUUGGAAACUGUUGAACGUGAGGGAAAGAGGGGAGAGUGGAAUUCCAUGUGUAGCGGUGAAAUGCGUAGAUAUAUGGAGGAACACCGGUGGCGAAAGCGGCUCUCUGGCUUGUAACUGACGCUGAGGCUCGAAAGCGUGGGGAGCAAACAGGAUUAGAAACCCUGGUAGUCCUAUC